GAUGAACGCUGGCGGCGUGCCUAAUACAUGCGAGUCGAGCGAACGGACGAGAAGCUUGCUUCUCUGAUGUUAGCGGCGGACGGGUGAGUAACACGUGGAUAACCUACCUAUAAGACUGGGAUAACUUCGGGAAACCGGAGCUAAUACCGGAUAAUAUUUUGAACCGCAUGGUUCAAAAGUGAAAGACGGUCUUGCUGUCACUUAUAGAUGGAUCCGCGCUGCAUUAGCUGGUUGGUAAGGUAACGGCUUACCAAGGCAACGAUGCAUAGCCGACCUGAGAGGGUGAUCGGCCACACUGGAACUGAGACACGGUCCAGACUCCUACGGGAGGCAGCAGUAGGGAAUCUUACGCAAUGGGCGAAAGCCUGACGGAGCAACGCCGCGUGAGUGAUGAAGGUCUUCGGAUCGUAAAACUCUGUUAUUAGGGAAGAACAUAUGUGUAAGUAACUGUGCACAUCUUGACGGUACCUAAUCAGAAAGCCACGGCUAACUACGUG
This 497-nucleotide ribosomal RNA is filed under the name uncultured bacterium. Its description in RNAcentral is "partial 16S ribosomal RNA". It matches the Rfam family "Bacterial small subunit ribosomal RNA", at positions 28 to 507 of the family's 1533-position model. The record is from RNAcentral.